UACGUAGGGAGCAAGCGUUAUCCGGAAUUAUUGGGUGUAAGGGUGCGUAGACGGGAUAACAAGUUGGUUGUGAAACCCCUCGGCUCAACUGAGGAACUGCAACCAAAACUAUUAUUCUUGAGUGCAGGAGAGGAAAGUGGAAUUCCUAGUGUAGCGGUGAAAUGCGUAGAUAUUAGGAAGAACACCGGUGGCGAAGGCGACUUUCUGGACUGUAACUGACGUUGAGGCACGAAAGUGUGGGGAGCAAACAGG
This 252-nucleotide ribosomal RNA is filed under the name uncultured bacterium. RNAcentral's name for it is "partial 16S ribosomal RNA". It matches the Rfam family "Bacterial small subunit ribosomal RNA", at positions 524 to 776 of the family's 1533-position model. The record is from RNAcentral.